This 1425-nucleotide long non-coding RNA is filed under the name Triticum aestivum (bread wheat). RNAcentral describes it as "long non-coding RNA (TAES_LNC003474)". Lineage: Eukaryota; Viridiplantae; Streptophyta; Magnoliopsida; Poales; Poaceae. The record is from RNAcentral.
CCAUCUCCCCUGCCCGUCCGUGCUCGGUGUCGAGCUCGACAUGCUCUUCACCGCCACUACUCCCUUCCUAGCAUGAGUUGGUGACUCGCCCAUCAACGGCUACCGCCCCAUCUUGCAGGCGCGCCGCGCGGGGACGGGCUAACACCUACUCGCCGUCGCCGACGACCUCGUAACCUCCCUCAUCGUCGUGCUCAACUACAACAGGAUCGGGCCCUACUCCACCUGUAGUUUUGGCCUCCGAUCCACGUUGCCGGACUCCGGUUUAGAUUCGGGAAUGAGACUAGAACGAGUGGAGUACCGCAGGUUUCCCCACCCCAUCCAUCUAGGGUUUGGAUCAUCUCCUUUUCAUGCUUUUCAAUUCCUGCAUUGCUAGUUGAUUCCAAACAUAAUUUUGUUCACCUCAGAUUCGUGUGACAUCUCCAUGUCAAUAUUUUGGUUUUUGUUCCCUGUUUGUUGGUGUGAAUUUGUGCCAUACAUUAUCUAUUGGAUCACUAAAUCUGUAGUCCACUUUUUGUGAAAUUUGUAUGUAUAAUCACUCAAACAUGCCUGCCUAGUUGGUGGCAGAAGGUUCCCAGUACCACUAAUGAUUUCAGUGCACUGUUUUGUGUUUCUUACCAUGAUGCACCAACAUUUAAUAGUUUUGCUUCUCUUGGACUAGAGAAUUGCUUCCACUUGACAGACAAAAAUCGGUUAAAGUUGUAUGUAUGUGACACAAAAUAUGUAUCCUCAUGGUGGCCACAAUAUUAAUAUGUUUUUCAUUAUCAAUGUUUUGUCUUUCAACAAAGAAUUGUAAUAUGUAGGUGCCAUAUUUCCAUAUUUUCUACAAAAUAUCAUACUCUGUUUAAGAAAUAAGCUUCUUACUAUCGAUGCCUUUCUUCGAUACAAUUGAAAUUUUAAUUUAUUCAUGAAGCACAACUUUAUGCAUCUAAUUAAUCUAGGAAUCCGAGUUUUACACCUCGGUGCGUCUUUUAUAUAUGUUGUAAGAAAAUGAAGCUAUUGCUUCCUAUCAACCAUGCUUCCUCUAGUUUAUUGCACAUGAUUCUCGGUAAGGAACUUUUUGCUUCAUACAUUGUAGUGUGUGCUACUUUUAUUAUACAAACAUUUUGCUAAAACCAUUAUUAGAUACUACUGUAUGCUUCAAUCGCUAGUACUGUCUGCUUCAACCAUUGGCAGUGUUGCUUCUGUUUGUACAUUUUAUUAUACAUUGAUUUUACUUGUUUUAGUGAAUAUUUGUAUCAGCCAUUAAAUUAUGUGCUUCCUUCUUUCUCACUUUUUGCUUCAAUUGUACAGCUUCCAAAUGAGAUGAUGUAAUGUAUUGAGGGCGAGAUCAACAAGGCACUGCUCUAAGGUUUGAUUGCACCAUGAACGAUGUAGAGAGCUCGUGGCGCACGCAGAUAUUGUCAUGAUCAGAUUGUCCAGCGCCCG